Molecule: small RNA, 3372 nt
Filed under: Pyricularia oryzae
Lineage: Eukaryota; Fungi; Ascomycota; Sordariomycetes; Magnaporthales; Pyriculariaceae
Description: Magnaporthe oryzae sRNA M_BR32_EuGene_00111781
Source: RNAcentral
AAAGAUUAUCGAUAUAAAAAACCAUAAAAACUUUAUAAUUUUUGGAACGGAAUAAAUAUGGUUUUUUUACGCUGGGUUCCAGGCCAAAAUUGUAGAAAAUAUUGGAAAAACACUAAUAUUAUAACAAAACCAACUUUUUUAUAUUUAUAAAAUUAUUGAUAAAAAUAUAAAUUUGCCUGAUGUUUUUAUACCCUGGGGGUAAAUAAUAAUAUAUUAAUUUUUGGGUUGAGACAAAUUUGGUAUUAAAAUUAACUUUUUUUAUAUUUGUUUGUUUUAUUUCUAUAUUUCGUUCCGCAAUUAUUAUUAACACCGUGCGAAAUAAUUUAACGGCGAAAAUUGUCGUAUAUAUAUUUCCAAUUGUUAUUUUUUAUAAAUUAUUUUUAACGCAAAUUCGUAUGUUGCAUUCAAUUACAUACCGUCCUGGUUAAAUUUAUAUAUAAAACCUAUUUUUAUAAUAUAAAUUUAAUUGUUUCCGGGCAUUUUGUAAAUAGAAUCUUUCUGUAAGAAUUCUUAACGUUGAAACUACGUAGUUUUUCGUUUAUCACGUAUUUAAAAUCGUUUUUUAAUAGAUAUUUAAAUAUAAUUAUAUAAUAUUUAAAUAUAAAUAGAAGAUUGUUCGAAUAUUUAAAACCUUCCGCGUUAUAUAUAUUAAAACCUGUUCUUUUAUUUUUUAAAUUUUAUUAAUUAAUUUUUAAAAGAAGUAGUAAUAAUCCCUAAACUAUUAUAUAUUAUAAUUUAUAUAUCGUCGGAUCUCGGGUUUUAAUUUAUAAGGUUCGCAAAAUUUUACCAAGUUCGUUCCGCAAUCGUUUUAUCUAUAUACGCGAAUAUUGCAAAUAUACCCUAUAUUUUAUCGUUAUAUUGAUUUCUUUUAUUAACGGACCCUAUUAUUUAUUUGCGGAUUUUACCAAUUUACCGGGGCGUUUUAAUGCGGUUUGCAAUGGGUUUUUUAUAUUUAUUUAAAUCUUUAGUGGAUGGUUUUCUUAUAGCAAUGCACAUAGUUUUUUAUUUGUUAAACGGUAUAAUAAAUAAUAUUACGGUGUUAAUUUCCAAAAUUAUUUUCGGUUAAAAUUCCUUUUUCCUGAUUUUGAAAAAAGUUUAAAUUUUAUUUUUGGGGUUUUAAAACCAGUAUUUAUUUUUCGACUUUUUCCUAACAUCCGUUCCGCAAUUAUAAAAACAAUUGUAUAUUCUUUUUUCGACGGGUAAUCCGAUAAAAUCCCCAACCUUCUAAAUAUAUUUAGUUUUUUUAUCCACUUUAUCAACGGUAAAUUGGAUUAUUUCGGAAGCAAAACUGUUUUUCAGUUUAUAAAACUAAAAAAUAGUAAUUUAUUAAACGUUACGUCGCGAAUUGUAAUCACGGGAUAAAAGAUUGGGAUCCGAAUUCGGUAAAUAUAGUUUAAAAUAUACUUUACAAAAUAACCAAUAUAAAUUUUUACGUUAAUCUUAUAAUAUUUGCGGUUUGUUUUUUAUAAUUGUUUUUCAUAUGUUAUAUAAAUUUUAUAUCUAUAUAUAAUUAUACCAUGAUAUACAAAUUUAUAUUUAUUUAUAUUUUUUUUGUUCGGCGUUUGUAUUUUAAUUUGCAAAUAAUUAUGAAUGGUUAGGAAAUACGUAAUUAUCUAUUUAUUAAAAAUUUGGAUGGGUAAUUUAAAUGUAAAUUUUGCGCGAAAUAGCUUAUUAUAUAAUUAAACGGCCGUUUUGGCCGUUGUUAAUUUUAAAUUAAUAGGAAAAUAUAUACCGAAUAGUACUACCAGGGUUUUAAUUUAUAUUUCCUAAUUUGUUCGUUUAAGUUUCCCGUUUGGUUUAUAUAUAUUUGCAAAAUCAAGUAUUAAUAUAAUUCUUUUUCCUUUUAACCAAUUUUUGUAUUUCUCUAGGUUUUGGCAUUCGUUUAAUAUUACCUGAUUUAUAUCGCUCCGUAUUUUGCAAAUUAUAUAACUAUAUUAUUUCCGAAUUUAUUUUACCAAAUCUUGAAUAAUAUUAAAAAGUUUAGAACCUAAACAGAAUUAUAAUAAAAUAAUAUAAAUUAAUCCGCAAAAAAUCAGUUUAAUUAUUAAUAGGUAUUUUGCUCCGUUAUAUUCCUCGGGGUAAUAUAUAUAGCUUUAACAUAUUUCCCAAAAUAAUCGAUAGGGGGGAUUUUCUGGGAUUCGCCGCCAAAUUAUUCAUUUUGCGUAUAUUUGCGCGCAAUUUUUGCAAAUUAUACAAAUAUCGCCUAUGAUUUUUAUUUUUUUCGCGUUUUGCAUUAACUGUUCCAACCUUUAUUAUCCCAAAUAAUUAAUGCGUAGAUUUUAAAUUCGCGUUAUUUUUAUUUCUGGUUUAAGAAUUUAUAAUAUUAAUGAAAAACCUUUUUUUACCGUUUUAUCAUAUUAUAUAUAACCGUUAUAAUAAUAAUUUGUAUCCGAAAAAAAUUAAAUUUGGAAAAAUAAAAAAACUGUGCGGUAUUGGUUUAUAUUCGAAAAAUAGUAAAUUCUUUUAUUUUUCCAAUUAUAAUAGUAAGGUACUCGCGUAAAUUGGGCCGUAUUUUUAAAAGAAACCUAAUUACAAAACUAUAAUUUAUAUUUAUGAAUAAAUGUUUGGGAUUUUAUAUUAACGUGCAAUUUUGGAAUUAAUAUAAUUCUUUCCAAAAUUAAGUCCCUUUUAUUAAAAAACCCAUUAAAAGUUUUGCGGUUAUAUUCUGGGAUUUGCAACGUAAAUGCACCCGUUGCGAUUAAAAUAUUAAUAUUUGCUGGAUAGAAUGUUUUUUCGUCGAUUAAUUAUAUUAAAUUAAUAACGUAUAUCGCGUUUCCGCUGUCGAUAAUAAUAUUAUUGGCGAAAAGGUGGGUGUUUUAUUUGAUUGGGAAUAUUCCAAUUAUUAUUACCGGUAUUUUAAGUUUAUUAUAUAAUAAAAUUGCGUAAUUUAUAAAUUUGUUCGGAAUUUGUUCCUAAAUCUUUUAUAUCCCCGAAUUUCUUUUUCCAAAUUAAAAAUCCCCGUUGGAAUCUUUUGUAACAAAAGUUUUCCGUACCAAAUUUUGGCGAAAUUAUUUAUAAUUUUUAAAUUUUAGUAGUUUUUGCAACAUUAUGUCUUUUUUGUCGGAAUUUAAAUUAAGUCUUUUCUUCUUUUUUGUAUUUGUUAAAACCCAGUGGAAUUUAUCGCAGUUUUCUAAUUCCCAAUAAUAUCUCUUAUUACUAGUUUUUUUAUACAAGUAUUAAUAUUUUUAUAUUAUUUUUUGGGUUAAAUUAUUUUCGUUUGGAUCUCUUUGCAAAUUUUGUACUCCUAUUAUUUUAAAUACCGGAACUGGACGUGGGUUUAAUUAAUUAAUUCUUUGUAAUUAUAUGUGGGUUUCGAAAGUUUUUAAAUAUUUUUCCACGCCCAUAAAUGGUUUUCUUAUAAUUAUAAAUUUA